This 19-nucleotide small nuclear RNA is filed under the name Arabidopsis thaliana (thale cress). Its description in RNAcentral is "snRNA_01084". The record is from RNAcentral. Lineage: Eukaryota; Viridiplantae; Streptophyta; Magnoliopsida; Brassicales; Brassicaceae.
CCUAGUACGAGAGGAACCG